ACCCUUUUCGUUACGUCCCGUUAAUCGUUAUGUCUCCUGUCUACCACAACCUGCGACGCACUAUUCCAAGAAUCCCCGCCACAACAUGGUCCAAGACCCGGAACAACCGAUUCCUCCGUCGCCGCCUCUUCAGCCUCCAAUUCAAGCCGAUACCCAUCCUCCUCAGCCACCACCGCCACCGUUCGAUCCUAGUCGGAUGAUUGGCAUUAUUAAAAGGAAGGCCUUGAUAAAAGAGUUAGCUGCGGUAUACCAUGCAGAGUGCCUUUCAUAUUGUCAAGAGCUUUUGGAACUUCAAAGAAAUUGGGAAGAGCCAUUUGUUGACUUGAAGAUUCCAGAGGAUUCAAAGAAAGAUACAAUUCGGCCUUCCAAACGUGUAAAAAAAUCCCGCUAGGCGUUGAUAUUAAUGUAAGAGUUGCAUCUGAAGAUUCUGAAUUAGCAAAUUCUGUUGGUUUGUUCAAGGUACAAACAUUAAUCUUCAAUCAGAAAACGAAGGUAUCUCUGCAAUUUUUGGACCGUGUACCCUCUCUCAGUACCGUGUUUGUCAUUCAUUAUUUUUGCAUAACUAGCAGCCCGCUAGAUUUGUGUUCAGUGCUUCAGCUGCACCAUUCAGGAAGUCACAUCUAUCUAUGUUUAGUUUCUGUUUACAGAUGCUUUGAUGCAACCAGUGUUGCAUGGAUUCCUUGCUUCAUUAUAUGAGGCACUUUUCCGAACCUUGAUACUGAGAAGUAGGAAGAAAGAGGAAUUAGAAAUGUAAAGUCUCUGGUUCAUCGAGAAUUUGGACGCUGGUGCACUGUAUUGUACAUAUCAUACUUGGUCAAUGGAAUACAAUAUGGUUUGAUAUUA
RNA transcript from Carya illinoinensis, 843 nucleotides. RefSeq lists it as uncharacterized. The record is from RefSeq and is a predicted model, not a curated record. The transcript is spliced from 4 exons. Lineage: Eukaryota; Viridiplantae; Streptophyta; Magnoliopsida; Fagales; Juglandaceae.